GCCCCCGUAGCUCAGUGGAUAGAGCGUCGGUUUCCUAAACCGUGCGUCGCAGGUUCGAUUCCUGCCGGGGGCGCCA
This 76-nucleotide transfer RNA is filed under the name Euzebya tangerina. Its description in RNAcentral is "tRNA-Arg". It matches the Rfam family "tRNA". From Rfam's summary of the family: Transfer RNA (tRNA) molecules are approximately 80 nucleotides in length. Their secondary structure includes four short double-helical elements and three loops (D, anti-codon, and T loops). Further hydrogen bonds mediate the characteristic L-shaped molecular structure. tRNAs have two regions of fundamental functional importance: the anti-codon, which is responsible for specific mRNA codon recognition, and the 3' end, to which the tRNAs corresponding amino acid is attached (by aminoacyl-tRNA synthetases). tRNAs cope with the degeneracy of the genetic code in two manners: having more than one tRNA (with a specific anti-codon) for a particular amino acid; and 'wobble' base-pairing, i.e. permitting non-standard base-pairing at the 3rd anti-codon position. RNAcentral also lists the same sequence under 4 other names. The record is from RNAcentral. Lineage: Bacteria; Bacillati; Actinomycetota; Nitriliruptoria; Euzebyales; Euzebyaceae.